Molecule: non-coding RNA, 353 nt
Organism: Brachypodium distachyon (stiff brome)
Lineage: Eukaryota; Viridiplantae; Streptophyta; Magnoliopsida; Poales; Poaceae
Source: RefSeq, marked provisional
CUGCUUUCCCUGAUUCCAAAUUCCUGAGCAAACAUAUGCACGCUUGUUGUGAAAAACAAUUUCAUGGAUUCUCUGCGGGAGAAGUUGACAGAUUUUCUCUAAGUAUGUUGAUCACUUGUUUUUCAUUCAGCUUCUUAGAGUACCUUUGCCUCUCUACAAUCUUGCAUUCCGCAGUGUGCAACAUUGUACAUUGGCAAAUGUACUCUAAGAAGUUUAAUGACAAACAAGGGAUGCACAUACUUUGAGCAACCUGUCAUCGUCUCCAUAAAUGAACAGAGCAUCUGUGGGAUGGUUCUCCACAGCAAGUAUGAAGAACAUAGGUUUGCUCUGGACUUUGGAAUCAGGAUCACCAG